RNAcentral lists this ribosomal RNA (487 nucleotides) under uncultured bacterium. RNAcentral's name for it is "partial 16S ribosomal RNA". It matches the Rfam family "Bacterial small subunit ribosomal RNA", at positions 899 to 1397 of the family's 1533-position model. The record is from RNAcentral.
ACUCAAAUGAAUUGACGGGGACCCGCACAAGCGGUGGAGCGUGUGGUUUAAUUCGAGGCUACGCGAAGAACCUUACCAAGGCUUGACAUCCUUGUCGCCGCUCUAGGAAACUAGAGCUUCAUUUAGUUGGACAAGUGACAGGUGAUGCAUGGCCGUCGUCAGCUCGUGUCGUGAGAUGUCAGGUUAAGUCCUUCAACGAGCGCAACCCUCGUAACUAGUUGUCUUAUGUCUAGUUAGACUGCCUCGGUAACGGGGAGGAAGGAGGGGAUGACGCCAGGUCAGCAUGUCCCUUACGCCUUGGGCCACACACACGCUACAAUGGCCGGUACAAUGAGCUGCUAAGUCGCGAGACGGAGCUAACCUCAUCAAAACCGGUCUCAGUUCGGAUUGUAGGCUGCAACUCGCCUGCAUGAAGCUGGAAUCGCUAGUAACCGUAGGUCAGCACACUACGGUGAAUACGUUCCCGGGUCUUGCACACACCGCCCGU